UACUAAAGYUGUUGCGGUUAAAAAGCUCGUAGUUGAAAUUGUGUCCUGCGGCGUCGGUCUACCGAUUGCGGUACGACAGGCGCGUCUGCGGGGCUUCUCGCCGGUGCGUGUCAACCGCCGGCGCGUCGCACCGUCGCACCUUCGCGGGUCGGCGGUCGCGGCGCCGUGGCGGGCCCUCGCGGCUGUUUACUUUGAACAAAUUAGAGUGCUCAAAGCGGGCUAAUAUUUGCCUGAAUAUUGUGCGCAUGGAAUAAUAGAAUAGGACCUCGGUUCUGUUUUGUUGGNNNNNNNNNNNNAGAGGUAAUGAUUAAUAGGGACAACUGGGGGCAUUCGUAUUGCGACGUUAGAGGUGAAAUUCUUGGAUCGUCGCAAGACGGACUAAAGCGAAAGCAUUUGCCAAAGGUGUUUUCAUUAAUCAAGAACGAAAGUUAGAGGUUCGAAGGCGAUUAGAUACCGCUGUAGUUCUAACCAUAAAUGAUGCCAGCCAGCGAUCCGCCGAAGUUUUUUUAUUUGAUUCGGUGGGCAGCUCCCGGGAAACCCAAAGCUUUC
RNAcentral lists this ribosomal RNA (549 nucleotides) under Stenopsychodes mjoebergi. Its description in RNAcentral is "partial 18S small subunit ribosomal RNA". It matches the Rfam family "Eukaryotic small subunit ribosomal RNA", at positions 604 to 1119 of the family's 1831-position model. The record is from RNAcentral. Lineage: Eukaryota; Metazoa; Arthropoda; Insecta; Trichoptera; Stenopsychidae.